AUGCACGCUGGCGGCGUGCCUAAUACCUGCAAGUCGAGCGAACGGACGAGAAGCUUGCCUCUCUGAUGUUAGCGGCGGACGGGUGAGUAACACGUGGAUAACCUACCUAUAAGACUGGGAUAACUUCGGGAAACCGGAGCUAAUACCGGAUAAUAUUUUGAACCGCAUGGUUCAAAAGUGAAAGACGGUCUUGCUGUCACUUAUAGAUGGAUCCGCGCUGCAUUAGCUAGUUGGUAAGGUAACGGCUUACCAAGGCAACGAUGCAUAGCCGACCUGAGAGGGUGAUCGGCCACACUGGAACUGAGACACGGUCCAGACUCCUACGGGAGGCAGCAGUAGGGAAUCUUCCGCAAUGGGCGAAAGCCUGACGGAGCAACGCCGCGUGAGUGAUGAAGGUCUUCGGAUCGUAAAACUCUGUUAUUAGGGAAGAACAUAUGUGUAAGUAACUGUACACAUCUUGACGGUACCUAAUCAGAAAGCCACGGCUAACUACGUG
This 496-nucleotide ribosomal RNA is filed under the name uncultured bacterium. Its description in RNAcentral is "partial 16S ribosomal RNA". It matches the Rfam family "Bacterial small subunit ribosomal RNA", at positions 29 to 507 of the family's 1533-position model. The record is from RNAcentral.